Long non-coding RNA from Eriocheir sinensis (Chinese mitten crab), 5592 nucleotides. RefSeq lists it as uncharacterized. NCBI's taxonomy places the organism in Eukaryota, Metazoa, Arthropoda, Malacostraca, Decapoda, Varunidae. The record is from RefSeq and is a predicted model, not a curated record. The transcript has 3 exons.
ACGUUUCUCUGUGAGCUAUUUUGCAGCUGCGAGUUAAUUCCUACAACACGUGGCGUCCUGUCAAUCUGUCACGCGGUGGUGGCUGGUGGACGAGGCGAGUGGACGGCCGCAGGUUUUGCUGUGUGGAGAUGAAAACUAUUGGACAGGUGAGCUGAGCUGCUGAAUGGCAGAGUUGUGGCAGCAGCCAGCCAGUAAGGAGGUGACUGCUGGCUCAGCUCUUCAAUGUCGGUAAGUACCUUGCAUGCCUCGUCGAGGGACAGCUCCGUGGGACCUCAGCAGCGACACCUCCACAUGGUGUCAAGGUAAAGAAAGAGGACAUUGUUUGUUUGUUUAGGAGGUAGGCACUGCUAGGAUCCUAACCUUUGGCUUGCCUUUCAGGUGCACUAAUGUUUCCAGCAUUGAUUUUUUACUUCAACAGAUGUUUCAUGCAUCAGAAAUUCCAUGUUAUGUCCAUGACAGCAGCAGGAGCUUCUGUAAGGAAACUCACUUUAAAGUAGCUUAUAAGAUGUUUGGUGGGAUGAUUGUUCCAAGGCAGCAGCCUCUUCACAAGAAAACAAGACUGCUUCAAUGCAGUUGGAAAGUGUGAUUUUUGGGUAAGUGCCCAGUAUGUAAAGUUUUGGGAAAGAACUGUAGCUACUCUAUAUUAUGGAUUUUCUGCACUUAGCUUAUGAAAAGUUGAUAAAAACAUAAUUAAUAGAAUAUCAAGAAUCAAACAAAUGCUACAUUGUCUUACCAGUCAUAAUGUUUUAUGUUGUUGUCUCAUGUUUAUGAAAAUAUAAAUUUUAUCAGAGAUAUCCAUGAUGAGUUGCUGUGUAUUAUAUCAGUUCCUAUGAGACUGUUAGUUAUACUGGAAAAGUUUUCAGACAAAUCCUGCCAUACCAAGUGAUCCUGGUAUUCAAAGUGUAUGGGGAAAAGAACAAAGCUGUGCACUGCAUCUUGAAAGAGGAAAUGAAAAGUUUGUAACUUUUGUGUUUAGGUACCUAAUUCAGGCUCUUGUCUUUGUUGCUUGUAUAUCCUUAUUUUCUGUGUUAUAAUGCAAAAUAUGAUACAAAUAAUAACCAGUGUUAAAAAUAGCCAGUUUUAACAGAACUUGGCCUUUGAAAUUCCAAAACUUGGCUUCUUAGCAAUGCCUAGAUUAGUGAAGUUGCUUUAAUAACUCAGAUGACUAAAUUUGAGCCAGAUAACACAUUUCAGAGCAUAAGAGUCUGAUUUCCUGUCCUCCCAUAGCCUGGAAUGCUAAGAACUGAACAACAUGAAUGACUGAGUAGCCUGCUGUCCUGUUCUCCAUCUUGGAAUGUUAAUAAUUCAAGUGAACAAAGAACAGAGUACUCUUUAAGUCCUGCCCUCCUUCAUCUUGGAAUGCUAACAUAGAUCUGCACAACAAUGAAGAGAACUCUCUGGAUUGAUGGUAGGUAUUUCUGGUAUCUAAUACAGGUACAUAAAUCUUUAUUUGCCUUUCAGAAUCCCUUGCAUACUUAACUUCAAUGUGAUAGUAUGCCAUAAGUAAUGGAUAGUUCAUUGGUAGAGGUCUUGCCUCCGUUUUUACUUUUCUUUUCAGCAUUAUGAUCACAAGUUAGUUGGGGUCAUGUGCGUGGGCCUCAUCUGCUGUGAUCCGUUUUGCACUCAUAUUUUUCCUUGAAUCUUUCUUCCAUUUUUAUUUAUUUAUUUAUUAUUAUUAUUUUUUUUUUUAGCUUCUGCUUAUAUCACUGGUAACCUGUCUUGAGGGGGCCCAUUAGUGGUGCAGCCGAAUUUUAUUUCUAGUGGCUGUCAUGAUGUAUGACUUGCUUGGCCCAUGCUGCCCCCUGGUGCUCCACUUGAACGAAGUUGCUUAAGUUAGGGUUGAUUGAAGAUCUGGGCAGCAUGUGCGUAAUCUUUUGCCACUCAGUGAUGGCUUGAAAAAUCAGCGUCUUUUGGUGGGACUUAAACCUAGGUCCACGGGCUCACCAUGCUUGCAUGCUGACCACUCGGCCACCGCCUCCCUACACCCCACCGCAUAAAUGGACCUUAUGUGGCCCAUCUAACAUCAAAUCAUAAAACUGAAAAUAACAACUCCUCCAUAACUAAAUUUAAAGAUAAUCUAAAGGUCCUUAGGAUUAAUACUCAUAGCUUAAGUAAUAAGAUUGAAGACUUGGUGUCUUGCUUCAACAGAAAAUUUUGAUAGAAUCGCUAUAACAGAAAUAUUCAUUGACACCUCAAAUACUUAUAUAAUUCCAGAAAACAAUGUACUGGAGAUGAUGACAGUCUCUUCAACAAAGAUUGCAUCAACCAUAGAGGUGGAGGUGUUGCCCUUUAUGCCAACAGCUACUUGCAUCCCACUGAUAGAUCACCAAGAGACACCAAUGCUGAACAUUUGCGUGUGCGAGUAAAUAGUGUAAAAAAUUAACUCAUCUCACUUACAGGGCUCCUUGUCAAUCACUCUGUGAUAUUGAAAUGUUUAGCGUUUUAUGAGUCAGGUCAUGACAGCGACUCACUGAUAUUAGGAGACUUUAAUCUCCCUCAUAUUCCACUGGGAGUCACUGUCAGGCACUGAAGGUGAGUCACAUAGAAUGCUUGAAUUUUGAGAGGAUAAUUACCCAAGUCAACUGGUCACUGAACCAACUCGACUAAAUAACAUGUUGUCCUCCAUGUAUGAGAGCAAACAGAGUAACGCUGAGGUUACAUUACCCAAAAAUGACUUCAUUUGCUUUCCGAUCAUCUGAGGUUGAAAAGCUUCUAAAUAAUUUAGAUACAUAUGGAGGUACUGAUCCUCUUGGCUUUUUUCCACUAUUUUUCAAAACUAUUAGUAAUCUCCUAGCUACCAAACUGUCCAUCAUUUUCAGAAUUCUAAUUCGGCAAGGUCGCUUUCCUAUCUGUUGGUGUAUUGCUAAUGUUACUCCUAUCAUGAAGAAAUCUGCUUCAGUUUUACCAGAAGAAUACAGACCCAUCUCUCUUACUCCUAUUGUCAAAAGUAUUUGAGCGUUUGUUGGGGAAACGACUCACUAAAUAUUUCAUUAACUUUAAUCUUCAACCACCUAACCAGUUUGGUUUUAUGAUGGCUUAGGAACCUGUGAUGCUCUUUUGGUGUUGAUACAUGACCUUCAAUCUUCUCUCGAUUGUGGAACGAGUCUCGGCUUAUAUCUUUGGAUUUUAGUUCAGCCUUUGAUAUGGUGAAUCACAAGGCAUUGUUGUUUAAACUGGAAAAUUCUGGUGUAGGAGGGCAUGUCCUAGAUGUGAUCUCUGAGUUUUUAACAUUAAGGACAUUGAUAUAGGACUUAACCCUUUCCUUGGACGCGGUGCGGAUGCGACUGUCCCCUCAGGCGCAGUAGGGCAGCCCAAUGGGGGGUCUCUUAUAACCUCUGUAUCUCAAAAACUAUUCAUCACAGCUAAACACCAAAAACACCACUGGAAAGAGGAGGUCCAGAUCUAUAGGGGUCGGUUAUGUAUGCCUCUCUUGCAAAUGUACAUGCACAUUCAGGGAGUGUUGAAUGUUAACACUUAUGUCAGUGCGUGCGGGAUGAUAAGCCAUAUUGAGGUAACUGCAGACAUCUCUCCUUCAGACUCUGGCAAGGGAGUAUUGCCAACUGCAAUAUUUACAGCUAUUUGGUCAAAGAAUCAGGCAGGUGAUAGGUGAAGCUAUGCAAAAAUGCCACUAUAUUGGGCAAGAACAUCCACCAGUUACUUGUCCGUAGAUUUGCCGCGCUGGGCUGAUAUGAUUUUCCACCAAAUUUAGUGAAGAACCCACUCAAUUGGCAAUCCUGUGUUGUGAGAAUUAGUGUUGGAACACUCUCAAACGCGGGAGAUUUGAGUGCGGGUGGAGCUCGCAGCGAGCGUUUAGCGCCACCAGCAAAUACGCUUAAUGCUCGCUGCGAGCGUUUAGCAAUGAAAGGGUUUAUAGUCUCAUUAGUAAAUUUGCUGAUGCCACAAAGAUAGGUAAUUGGGUCCUCUCUGACGAAGACAGACAAAGCCUACAAGAAGAUUUGUAUAGAAUUUCAGCUUGGUCUGAUUAAUGGAAUAUAUAUGAUAUAAACAAGUGCCAUCUUCAAAUUGGCAAAAAAAUAAGAGGUUCGAUUAUGAAAUGUAUGCACUAAACUCCAAAGCGUUCAGUAUGUCAAGGACAUUGGUGUCAAAUUCGGGUCAACCCUCAAAUUCUCACAGCAAAGCAUUGAUACAAUUAAGAAAGUGAACAGAAUGCUGGGCUUCAUUAACCCGUUGAGCCCCACCAAUAAUACAUAAUGAUCCACCAAUUUUUUUUAUAUAUUUUUUCUAGGAAAUCCAAUGGAAUCAUGAAGUUAUAACAACAAAAGCACAUAAAAUCACUCACCAUAGCCACAGAACACGCAGAACAUAUCUACUGAGGGGGGGUACAUCUUGCGUUGUUUUUUGUAUACAUAAACAUUCAAAUAUAUUAUUGAAAAAUAACCUUGAAUGUCUAUCACAAUUAUUGAUUUUCACAUAUUCAUGAACUAAAAAUGCGCAGGUGCCACAUCCAUCAAAAUUCCCACUUUGUUGGUGGACAGAUGAAAUGAAACUGAUUAUACUAUAGCUGGUUCACCCAAGUCUGAAGUGUUCAUUAUCGCGCAACGGCAACCUGCAGCCACACGGUGUGUAUGAUUUUGUGGAUACUGUAUGCUAGGCUGCUAGCCUACGAAGCAAUAGUAAACAGUCAUCAGUGUCAAUAAUAUGCAGGCAGCAAUAACAAAUACUGUCAAUUGUAGUCGAUUAUGAGUAAAAAAUAUUAGUAAUGUCGCAAAUAGCUGUUUUGUUAAUAUAAAGCCUGCUAAUUUUUCUCGGUGGUGGACAGCUUCAAGACUGCUUAAUAAUCACAAUCAGCGAUCUCGUAAAUUAACAAAACAGCUAUUAGCGACAUUACUAAUAUUUUUUAACUCAUAAUUGACUUUAAUAUUGAUGGUAUUUGUUAUUGCUGCUUGCAUAUUAUUGACACUGACGACCGUUUACUAUGCAUAGGCUAGCAUACAUUAUCCACGAAAUUGAACACGCUGUGUGGCUGCAGGUUGCCGUUGCUCGAUAAUGCAAGCUUCAGACUCGGGUGAAUCAACCAUAUAUAUAUACAUACAUAUACAGGUAACUCGAUUUACGUGAGUUUGGUUUACGCGUUUUUGAAAUAACGCGGGGUCAAAACCCAAAUAAAUGUUUAAUUUACACGUUUUUUCACUUAUACACGAUAUUUUAUGGAGUGGCCACCAGAUGUCUCACGCAACAGGACUCACAUGUUGCCGCGGCCACGCAACUGAGCUCAGUUCUUCCCGCGCGCUACUUGAACAACAAUACAGUACCCACGCUGCCACGCUACUCUACAAUAGGGGUGGGCAGGUACCGGUACCAGUACCGGUAUUAAUGGUACCAGCUAUACAUUACGGUACUGGUACCAGACUGCUCGGUACCGGUACCAAUACUAGCCAGUCGCUCAUGGUGUCCCUUAUUUCUUCCUCACACGAGUGAGGCUGAGAUAGUGCCUGAAUGGAUAUCUCUCUCUCUCUCUCUCCACUGAAUGAAGUGAAUAUUUAUUUUUCGAUAGAAACCUACCUCUUGUUUGAUUUACAUUGUUUUUGAUUUACGCGACCUCUUCAAGGGCACAAUACUUGCGUAAAUCAA